AUUGAACGCUGGCGGCAGGCCUAACACAUGCCAGUCGAGCGGAUGAAGGGAGCUUGCUCCUGGAUUCAGCGGCGGACGGGUGAGUAAUGCCUAGGAAUCUGCCUGGUAGUGGGGGAUAACGUCCGGAAACGGGCGCUAAUACCGCACACGUCCUGAGGGAGAAAGUGGGGGAUCUUCGGACCUCACGCUAUCAGAUGAGCCUAGGUCGGAUUAGCUAGUUGGUGGGGUAAGGCCUACCAAGGCGACGAUCCGUAACUGGUCUGAGAGGAUGAUCAGUCACACUGGAACUGAGACACGGUCCAGACUCCUACGGGAGGCAGCAGUGGGGAAUAUUGGACAAUGGGCGAAAGCCUGAUCCAGCCAUGCCGCGUGUGUGAAGAAGGUCUUCGGAUUGUAAAGCACUUUAAGUUGGGAGGAAGGGCAGUAAGUUAAUACCUUGCUGUUUUGACGUUACCAACAGAAUAAGCACCGGCUAACUUCGUG
RNAcentral lists this ribosomal RNA (483 nucleotides) under uncultured bacterium. RNAcentral describes it as "partial 16S ribosomal RNA". It matches the Rfam family "Bacterial small subunit ribosomal RNA", at positions 30 to 507 of the family's 1533-position model. The record is from RNAcentral.